Molecule: ribosomal RNA, 253 nt
Filed under: uncultured bacterium
Lineage: Bacteria
Description: partial 16S ribosomal RNA
Rfam family: Bacterial small subunit ribosomal RNA
Source: RNAcentral
GACGGAGGAUGCAAGUGUUAUCCGGAAUCACUGGGCGUAAAGCGUCUGUAGGUGGUUUAAUAAGUCAACUGUUAAAUCUUGAGGCUCAACCUCAAAAUCGCAGUCGAAAACUAUUAGGCUAGAGUAUAGUAGGGGUAAAGGGAAUUUCCAGUGGAGCGGUGAAAUGCGUAGAGAUUGGAAAGAACACCGAUGGCGAAGGCACUUUACUGGGCUAUUACUAACACUCAGAGACGGAAAGCUAGGGUAGCAAAUG